UUGAACGCUGGCGGAAUGCUUUACACAUGCAAGUCGAGCGGCAGCGCGGGGGCAACCCUGGCGGCGAGCGGCGGACGGGUGAGUAAUGCAUCGGAACGUACCUAGUCGUGGGGGAUAACUAUCCGAAAGGAUAGCUAAUACCGCAUACGUCCUGAGGGAGAAAGCAGGGGAUCGCAAGACCUUGCGCGAUUAGAGUGGCCGAUGUCAGAUUAGCUAGUUGGUGGGGUAAAGGCCUACCAAGGCGACGAUCUGUAGCGGGUCUGAGAGGAUGAUCCGCCACACUGGGACUGAGACACGGCCCAGACUCCUACGGGAGGCAGCAGUGGGGAAUUUUGGACAAUGGGCGAAAGCCUGAUCCAGCCAUGCCGCGUGCGGGAAGAAGGCCUUCGGGUUGUAAACCGCUUUCAGCCGGAAAGAAAUCGCCACUUCUAAUACGAGUGGUGGAUGACGGUACCGGAAGAAGAAGCACCGGCUAACUACGU
Molecule: ribosomal RNA, 482 nt
Filed under: uncultured bacterium
Lineage: Bacteria
Description: bacterial SSU rRNA
Rfam family: Bacterial small subunit ribosomal RNA
Source: RNAcentral